GGCUGCUCCAGAGGAACGUUUCUAAGAUUUCCUUUUCAUGGCUCAGUGGGCCACAGUAAAUCCAGAGUAAUAUUUUUCCUUGCAGGUGGACAUAUUCAUUUUUUGGGUUGUUGUUAGGUCACACAGAGUCCUAGGAAGUGGCCUAUUGUUCCAAGCUGGAAGGCAAAGGCGCGUAAGUAAGGAGUGGCAUUCUUAUUAGAGCUUUGAUGAAUGAAAGGCAAUCGUGAAGUUGCUUUUGUUCUUACCUAUGGGGCUCACGAUUGUUAAUCUAUAACUUGCUUUAUGGAUUCAAACUUAUUAAUCAUUUUAAAGCAAAAUUCUAUUUAAUGACUGAAAUGGAAAAUGAGGCCUUGAUGAAAUGAAAUGUCAAUCUGGCCCCAUUGGCCUCCCCGGCUGUGGCAAAGUGGCGGAAUCUGGAGUUGCCUCUGCCAAGAGGGUUUGGGGGAGCUGAGGUGGGCAAGGCUGGGGAAGGCCGGGAUGUUUCUCUCCACCGGGCAGAGCUCCUGGGUGGGCGCAGGCAAGGCCUGCCCUUCACCACGUUGGUGCAGCUACUGCCUCCCGGGAAGGUGGACCUGGCUCCGUUGCCUGCUCGGGACUGGAAAGCUGAGCUGAAAGGGUUCCGCCUCUCUGGCCAGAGCUCAUCUUGAGAAUUCUCGUUUCGUCUAUCAGUAGGACAUUUUAGGCUGCGUGAAAUAUUUUUUACCACCACGCUUCCACUUGGCCAUCAGAGCACUCUGGCGAGGUAAGCAGGGCUGGGUUCACUGUGCCCCGAGGUGGGUGAGCAACCCAAGUGUGGAGUGGCCGGGUCAUCCGCCCAGGUGGCCGAGCGAGGACUCCCGCCCAGGUCCCUGCAGUCUGGUGCUCCCUGUGGCCCCGCUGAGGGCUGGGCGGGAGCACCCAGGGGAUCAGGCCUCGGGGCAGAGCAGCGGGGGCUCAGGCCCUCAGAGCUGACAGGGGUCCCCGUGGCUUCACAACUUGGUGGGAAACGGAGAAAGUCAGCCCUGGCCGCGCUGGAGAGAAUGAUUUAGCUGCUUUAUUGCCCAUCUCUAGAAAGGAAGGUGGGGCCUAGAGGAGCGUCUGGAUGUGAUGGGUGCUCAGUGGUGAGUGGAUAGACGAGUGAAUGAAGCCAUCUAUCUCAGGGUCCUUCUCCAGGAGCCCAGAGGACACCUUCUUUGGCCCCUGAGACCCAUCUUGGCUCUUUCACCUCCGAGAGCUUUAGGUCGGUGGACCCGGGAGUCCUGUGGAGAGAGCACGGCCAGCACCUGCCGGCCCCAGCCAGCCCUGGAAGGAGGGUGCAGAAUCAUGUAAAGCAAUGGAUACAGUUAUUCUGCCAACAAUUUGGGGGUGAGGCUUCUGGGCCACAGCUUGCGGUAGGCUCUGGAGACACCACAGCAAACGGGGGGCCACCAUCCCACACGCAGGCCUGGGAGGGCACAGCAGAGAGAGCCGAGGCCAGUGCUGAGCGGGAGAGCCAACUUGAAGUUUGAGCUGCAUCUUUCCAGCUCCCCACUUACUUGACGGCUUUGAUGCUCGGUUCCCUCAUCCCAGACUCGUAGGGCUAAGACUUCCAACUGCGCCGGCUCCAUCUGAGGACCAGGGUUACGGCAAUGCUGGACAGUUGGCAUGGGAUGGUGUCCCGGAGGAUACUGGUUGAGACAGCCCGGCUCUGUGUCAAAAGUGAGAGGCCAAAUGUGGGCAGCGGCCAUGGAAGAUGCUGUUCUUGAAUCCCACUGCCAGCUCCACAGCCAUCGGGCCUUUGUGCAGCAGAACAGCCUUGGAGUCCUCGAGCCUACCAGCCUGCUUGGCAAACCUGCUUACGAGAAGAUCCUCAGGGUCACAGCAGCAAAACCACCAGGGUCACCAUGAAGACCUUAAACCUUUCCCUAAUGGAAACCAAAGAUUCCACCUUGUCUAACUCAUUUUCCCUGUGGUGCUUAACAACCCAGCACAUAUGGAACCUCGGGCUGCUUACCACAGUUUCUCCAGCUGCAAAAUGCAACAGGACAUUUUCCCAGAGCCAUCUGGGGUCUGACACCCCACUCAGGUUGGGCAGCCCACCCAGAUGACAACUGGAUUCCAAGCCGAGGAGAGGGUGAAGCCUGCAGCAGCCCUCCUGCUCAGCAGGUCUGUAACCCCCAGGCCCAGGAGUUCUAGAGGCCAGAGAUCCAAAAUCAAGAUGUCGGCAGGGUUGUGCCUUCUGAAGGCUCAAGAGAAGACUCCUUCCUGAUCCCAGCUGCUGGUGAUGCGGGGCAAUCCUUGGAGAAUCCUGGCUGAGAGCUGCAUCACUCCCAUCUCUGCCUCCGCUUUCACAGUUUUCCUUCUCAUGGAUCUCUGCAUGUCUGCGUCUUCAUCUUACAAGGACAUUAGUCAUUGGAUUGGGCCCAUCCUAAACCAGUGUGAUCACAUCUUAGCUCAUUUCAUCUGCAAAGCCCUAUUUCCAAUUAAGACCACAUUCUAAGGUUCUGGGAGGACAUGAAUUGGGGGGAGGAGUCACUAUUCAACCCACUACGGUUAUCCGUCCUUCCAUCUAUCCAUCCCUCCACCAUCCCUCCAUCCGUUCAUCCACCCUUCUAUCCAUCCCUCCACCAUCCCUCCAUUUGUCCAUCUAUCCAUCCAUCCAUCCCUCCAU
This is a long non-coding RNA of Choloepus didactylus (southern two-toed sloth), 2629 nucleotides long. RefSeq lists it as uncharacterized. The transcript has 6 exons. The record is from RefSeq and is a predicted model, not a curated record. NCBI's taxonomy places the organism in Eukaryota, Metazoa, Chordata, Mammalia, Pilosa, Megalonychidae.